UGUACUUGCAUGGUGUGUACUUAGCCGGGUUUUAAAGCUCCUUUCCGUUCAGGUGAAUGGGAUAAAACCGCAACCUCCUGCACUGCCGCCACUGUUAGAUGUGCCAGUUUAGACUAUAGAGGAGUUAUAGCACAUGCGCCAGGCCCCUUAAACAUCUCAUUGUCAAGGGUGGCAACAGUCAGACCCUCCACCAAUCUGAUAUCGAUGGCCUUCCAGUUCUGCCGAACAUGCACGUCAUUUCAAUAGAGCAAGUGAGGAGAGGCGUCUACCAGGCACCAACUUCAGUGAAGUGUUCAAAAAAAAAAAAAAAAAAAACUCUUAGACACUUGUAAGCCAGUAUGUCCCGUACAGAACAGCAAUUAACAGACAAAUCUAAUUUCUUCUUUCACCAACCCUUUUCAGAAGAGAGAUUAAUAAGUAAUACCUACAGUAUAUAGUCAUCUAUCAAAAUUAAAUUCUUAACAUUUAUUUUUUCAUAAUUUUUCUUUUCAUUAUACAUUUUUAAAAAAAAUUAAAAAUCAGUGGGGUAAUUAGAUUUCAUGCUGGUAACCAAUAGGCCGACGGUUCCAUGUUACUUUUCAGCUCUGUAGAAGGAGUACUGUAACAAAGGCUCACACAAUCACUGGAGGGUGAGGUUAUAAUGGCGGUACAUACUGCAGUUAUUAAAGGGGUUUUCCAAGUGAUUGGUGGUGCUCCAGGACCUCGGACCCCCCACUGAACAUUUGUUCGAAAAGGCAGCAGCGCUCGCAGUAACACCAGGGCCUUAUCCAGCGGCCACAAGGCCACGGCACAGCUCCAUUGAAGUGAAUGGGGCCGAGUGCGAUACCAAGCACAGUCGCUAUACAAUGUACGGUGCUGUGCUUGGUGAGCUGAGAGAAGGCUGUAACACUACUGCAAGUGUUGGUGGCUUUUCAAAUGGCUGAUUGGUGGGGGUCCCAGGUGUCGGACCACCACCCAUGACCUAUCCAGAGGAUAAGUCAACAGUAAAAGACACUUAAAAAAGGGCUUUACUGGGGUUGUUCAGGAAAAGAAAAACAUGACCGCUUUCCUACUAAAACAGCACCACACCUGUCCUCGGGUUGUGUGUGGUAUUGCAGCUGAGCUCUAUUGACGUGGUAUUGCAACUCUGCUCCAUUCACACACAACCUGUGGACAGGUAUGGUGCCGUUUUUGGAAGAGAGCAACCAUAUUUUUCUUAUCCUGGACAACCCCUUCAACAGACAGAGGGAGACUGCUGUGCGGCACCAUCUCUGCUGAUUUUAGGAGGGCAGUAUAAGACUACAGACAUUUUUCAGCUCCAUUCACUGCUAUUGCACAAGUCCUACAUUACAUGAAUUUUUUAUUUUUUAUGUUUUUUGAGUCUUUAGUGGCAUUUUGUAUUUUGAGAAAUUUGAAGAAAACCUGUUGGUAAGACAGAGGUUAAUGAACCACUGAUAUAAUGCAGUAGGGCUUAUGUCACAGCUGCACCAGGGUUUUGUACCCCAAAAAUUAUAAGAGUGGGGUUAAGUUGUAGUUAUUAAUCACAACUUUUUUUUGUUUUUCUGGUGUUUUUCUAGUCGUGUUAAAAUACAUAUGGGGAAAAUACAAAAAAAAAAAAAAAAAAAAAAAUAUACCAAAACAAGAAGAAAAAAAAAAAAUUAUAAUAUAAUAAAAUAAAAAAGUACAAAGACACUUGACUUCUAUAUCUCACUGCAGACUUUAAAAUAACAUCUGCACACCCCAUUAAAACCACCAACAAAAACACUGCAACAAAAAAAAAAAAAAAUCAUCAACAUUUUUGACAGACUCCCUUAAAUUCAUCAUAUUACUAAAAAUUUGUUUUCUUUCCGGCAGAGAUCUUGAGAGCGGUGGCUUUGCACACAAUCAAAUGCACUGUGUACAUAGAGUUCAAUGCAUACAGAUCGGCCAUUACCAUACAGCGUGAGCAAACUACUGCAGUACAAUGAUCUCAGCUUGGAAAGUAUCUGCCGCAGAUGUUAGCAGAAUUCAUUUAUCCUGGGGGACCUCUUUAAUAUAAAAGCUCUCACCGAUAGAGGAUCCCUCACCUCUCCCGACAUAUAAUAAACUCAGAAGUGUUGUAUUCUAAGAACCCUGCAAUGUACUGUUCCUCCUGGAAAUCUACAAAUAGGUUAACAACUAAGGCCGGGUCAACAUCAUUUAUUUUUCCAUCGUUCUGAUCCGUCAGAAGAACAGAAAAAAAAA
Bufo bufo (common toad) is the source of this 2202-nucleotide long non-coding RNA. RefSeq lists it as uncharacterized. The record is from RefSeq and is a predicted model, not a curated record. Lineage: Eukaryota; Metazoa; Chordata; Amphibia; Anura; Bufonidae. The transcript has 3 exons.